AUGGGGAAGCAUGCUGUUACAGUUCAUGCUCUUCCUGCCUGUGAAUUGAAUACUGUCCUGGUAGCAGCUUUGGGUCUGUCAGGAGCUCAAGGCUGGUCUGUGUGGCUAUGGAUGAGCACUGAACUUGCCUCAAAGAAUUUAAGGGGUCCACAGCAGCCUCUGGUGGUCUUUGGUGUUAGUCCUCCAGGUAGAGCCAGUGUUACAAAUAGGUGGCAGAUCACAAGAUCACGAGUUUGAGACCAGCCUGGCCAACAUUGUGAAACCCUGUCUCUACUAAAAAUGCAGAAAUUAGCUGGGCAUGGUGGUAUGCACCUGUAGUCCCAGCUACUCAGGAGGCUGAGGCAGGAGAAUUGCUUGAACCUGGGAGGCGGAGGUUUUAGUGAGUGGAGAUUAUACCGCUGCACUCCAGCUUGGGCAACAGAGUGAGCCUUCAUCAAAAAAAAAAAAAAAAGAAAAAAGAAGAAGAAAAGAAAAAUGGUGUCGAAUGGGAUUUUUUUCUAUUUUAAAUAUUUCUAUUUAAACAUUUUAAAUAUUAUUUAAAUAGAAUAUUUUAAAAUAUUCUAUUUUAAAUAUUUCUAUUUAAAAUUAUUACAGACUCAUAAGAAAUUACAAAAAUAGUACAGAGCAGUCACAUCUCCCCUGCCUCCAGCUUCCCCCAAUUGUAACAUCUUAUAUAAUAACUACAGUACACUGUCAAAGCCAGGAAAUGAACAUUGGCGCCAUACUCUUCACUAAAUUCGGACCUCGCUGGGACUAGAACAAGUUGUACAGUUGGCACUCUCCUAGAGGUAAUUUGAGUUGUUUGCAUGAAAUUUAUUCUCAGAAGUAACACAGUAGAGGGAAUUUGCUGUUACCAGAUCUUUGUAUUUUGGGUAAGUUGUUUAAUGGCACCAAGCCUUGAUUUGCUCAUCUGUGAAAUGGAAAUAAUAAUACCUACCAAGUAAGCUGUUAUGAGGAAGUACCUCCAGUUCAGUCAGUGCCAUAUACUGGGAACCCCUAAAUACUAGCUUUCUUCUUCCCUUGUAAGACCACACUUUAUUAUUAUUAUUAUUAUUUGGUAUUUUAAAGAGGUUUAUUCUAAGUAGCCAAUAGGAGUGACCAUAAUCCUGGGAAACGGUCUCAAGGGGUCCUGAGAAAGUGCACCCAAGGCAGUUAAAAAUUACAGUCUGGUUUUAUACAUUUUAGAAAAGCAAAAGUUACAGGCAAAUAUAUAAAUCAGUAGUGCAUGGAAGGUAUACAACAGUUAGUCCAAAAAGGAGAGAGAUCCUGAAGCCGGCAUCCACAGAAGACCACACUAUAUCUCAGAGUUUUAUAGGAGAUGUAGGUGCUCUCCUAAUAAUUAACCUGUUUCUUGUCUUUUUCUUCCUUUUUCCUUUCCUUUCCUUUUUUUUUAACAAGGUCUUGCACUGUCACCCAGGUGGAAGUGCAGUGGCUAUUCACAGGCACAAUCACAGCUCACAGCAACCUCAACCUCCUGGGCUCAAGCAGUCCUGUUGCCUCAGCCUCCUGAGAAGCUGGCACUACGAACACAUGCCCUUGCACCCAGCUAAUUUAUUAUUAUUAUUUUUUUCUUUUUCGGAGCAAGGGUUUCACUUUGUUGCUCAGGCUGUCUCAAGCUCCCGGGCUCAGUGAUCCUCCUGCCUCAGCCUCCCAAAGUGCUGGGAUGAAAGUGAAUUUGCCGUCCCCCAAAGCACAAAGUGGCCACGCCCAGCCUCAACCUGGUUCUUGAUUAUGACUGUUAGGGUUGUUAUUUUGCUCAGACUGGUCUUGCCUCUUAGAACUAACCAACGUUUGUGUCAAAAUCACUUCCUAUGGAUGUGAAAUCAGAAGUGUCAACUCUGUUUGACCUUCAUACCACUUCUCUUAGAAGCAGCCCUCUACCCGCCCCCGCCAAGAAAAUGGCUUGAAAACUUCAAGACCACUACACUCCAUGAGGCCAUCCUUGACCCAGCCAUCUUGCUGGCGUAGACUCUCUGUGUCCCUGCAGGCUGGCAUCCAAGCUGGACUUGUGGGCUGAGCUAGACUGUCAUCCCAUUUGUUUCUUUCCUCCGACUCCCAGGUGGCCCCUGGAACCAUGGCAAGGCUUUGAUGUGGGAGUCAGAAGAAGGAGGGAGUCCGGCAGUCCCUAAUGGUGGGGUUCUCUCUGCCUUCCUACCUGCCUCCCUGCACAGGUGUACGGUUUGCACACAUCACAGCAUUGGUCCUGAGGCUGACUGUACAGCGCAUUUGGGCUUCUGCACGUCCUAGUUUUUCUCCUUUCUCACAGUCAUUUGUCUUUUAUAAGCCAACUGGGCAACUGCCAUCCUUCAUUGUUUUUUGGUAUGGUGCCUGCCAUGUCUUAAUGCUCAAUUAAUAAAAUUACAGUAAUAACCCUCCUUCUGGCCUGGUGUUCCAGAAGCAGUGCUGGGUGGAUGAUGGGUCUGAGGUGGAUUUUCCUGGGUCCCCAGUGGAAGUCAGAAGUCACUGCAGUGCUAGUUGGAAGAGAAAGUGGAGAGAGGCAGGUGGACAUGAAGGCAUACAGACAGGAGGCGUUGAGAGAAAGAAAAGUUGGUUCAGGCACGGUGGCUCAUGCCUGUAAUUCCAGCACUUUGGGAGGCUGAGGCAGGUGGAUCAUGAGGUCAGGAGUUCAAGACCAACUUGACCAAUGUGGCAAAACCCCGUCUCUACUAAAAAUACAAAAAUUAGCCAGGCGUGGUGGCGCGCACCUGAAAUCUCAGCUACUCGGGAGACUGAGGCAGGAGAAUCACUUGAACCCAGGAGCAGAGGUUGCAGUGAGCAGAGAUCACACUAUUGCACUCCAUCCUGGGUGACAGAGUGAGACUCUGUCUCAAAAAAAAAAAAAAGUUGAGGUUGGCACGGAGUGGGUCUCUAGGCUCAAGGAAAGUCUAGAGGUUUGUUUUGUGUGUUUUCUUUUGUGAUGGGAGUCUCAGUCUGUCAUCCAGUCUGGAGUCCAGUGGCACGAUCUUGGCUCACUGUAACUUCCGCCCUCCCAAGUUCAAGCCUUUGAGAAGCUGGGACCACAGGCAUGGGCCACCAUGCCUGGCUAAUUUUUUGUAUUUUUGGUAGAGAUGGGGUUUCACCAUGUUGCUCUAGGUGGUCUUGAACUCCUAAACUCAGGCCAUCCACCCACCUCAGCCUCCCAAAGUGUUGGGACUACAGGUGUGAGCCACCACACCCAGCAAAGUCUGGAGGUUUUUGUGAAGAGUUUCAACUUUGGGGUCAGAUUGUUUUAUUAGAAUCUUGGCUCUGCCACUGACCAGGUGUGCACUUUUGGACAAAUUCCAUAGCCCUCCUUAGCCUCUUUCCUCAUCUGUAAAUGGGGAUAAUGAUUCCUACUUCUUAGAUCUUGUAUUGUGAAGAUGGACAAAGAGUCUCUGCUUGACGAAACUACCAUCAGUCUCCUGAACCUUCUUCUAGGCCCAUCUGUGCACUUCCUUGUAAAAUCUACUUUCAGGAAGAACCCUGCUAAGUCAGUUUACCAAGAACCCCCCACCCUGUGUAAGUGACCAGCUUCCCCAUCUGAUCAUCCCACCCCAGCCCUGCCAGGGGAUGUCUGAUCUUCAAGAAUCCUGU
RNAcentral lists this long non-coding RNA (3573 nucleotides) under Callithrix jacchus (white-tufted-ear marmoset). Its description in RNAcentral is "lncRNA (ENSCJAG00000077318.1)". The record is from RNAcentral. Lineage: Eukaryota; Metazoa; Chordata; Mammalia; Primates; Cebidae.